AUUGAACGCUGGCGGCAGGCUUAACACAUGCAAGUCGAGCGGGGGCUUCGGUCCUAGCGGCGAACGGGUGAGGAAUGCCUGGGAAUCUGCCUGGUAGUGGGGGAUAACGAUUCGAAAGGGUCGCUAAUACCGCAUACGUCCUACGGGAGAAAGCAGGGGACCUUCGGGCCUUGCGCUAUCAGAUGAGCCCAGGUCGGAUUAGCUAGUAGGUGAGGUAAAGGCUCACCUAGGCGACGAUCCGUAGCUGGUCUGAGAGGAUGAUCAGCCACACUGGAACUGAGACACGGUCCAGACUCCUACGGGAGGCAGCAGUGGGGAACAUUGGACAAUGGGCGAAAGCCUGAUCCAGCCAUGCCGCGUGUGUGAAGAAGGCCUCGGUUGUAAG
This 385-nucleotide ribosomal RNA is filed under the name uncultured bacterium. RNAcentral describes it as "bacterial SSU rRNA". It matches the Rfam family "Bacterial small subunit ribosomal RNA", at positions 30 to 429 of the family's 1533-position model. The record is from RNAcentral.